RNAcentral lists this ribosomal RNA (707 nucleotides) under uncultured Bacilli bacterium. RNAcentral's name for it is "bacterial SSU rRNA". It matches the Rfam family "Bacterial small subunit ribosomal RNA", at positions 42 to 718 of the family's 1533-position model. Lineage: Bacteria; Bacillati; Bacillota; Bacilli. The record is from RNAcentral.
GCGUGCCUAAUACAUGCAAGUCGAGCGAGCUGAAUUCAAAGAUCCCUUCGGGGUGAUUUGUUGGAUGCUAGCGGCGGAUGGGUGAGUAACACGUGGGCAAUCUGCCCUAAAGACUGGGAUACCACUUGGAAACAGGUGCUAAUACCGGAUAACAACAUGAAUCGCAUGAUUCAAGUUUGAAAGGCGGCGUAAGCUGUCACUUUAGGAUGAGCCCGCGGCGCAUUAGCUAGUUGGUGGGGUAAAGGCCUACCAAGGCAAUGAUGCGUAGCCGAGUUGAGAGACUGAUCGGCCACAUUGGGACUGAGACACGGCCCAAACUCCUACGGGAGGCAGCAGUAGGGAAUCUUCCACAAUGGACGCAAGUCUGAUGGAGCAACGCCGCGUGAGUGAAGAAGGUUUUCGGAUCGUAAAGCUCUGUUGUUGGUGAAGAAGGAUAGAGGCAGUAACUGGUCUUUAUUUGACGGUAAUCAACCAGAAAGUCACGGCUAACUACGUGCCAGCAGCCGCGGUAAUACGUAGGUGGCAAGCGUUGUCCGGAUUUAUUGGGCGUAAAGCGAGCGCAGGCGGAAUGAUAAGUCUGAUGUGAAAGCCCACGGCUCAACCGUGGAACUGCAUCGGAAACUGUCAUUCUUGAGUGCAGAAGAGGAGAGUGGAAUUCCAUGUGUAGCGGUGGAAUGCGUAGAUAUAUGGAAGAACACCAGUGGCGA